This 1076-nucleotide long non-coding RNA is filed under the name Chrysemys picta bellii (western painted turtle). Its description in RNAcentral is "lncRNA (ENSCPBG00000002481.1)". The record is from RNAcentral. Lineage: Eukaryota; Metazoa; Chordata; Testudines; Emydidae.
UGCUUGUGACGGGGAGAGAGAAAGCACUGAGUGUGUGCGUGUGUGUUUGCACAAACCUCCUUUGUGUGUCUGCUGUGAACUGAGCACAGAAUGGCCCUGCCUUUGCAGACAGCAGUCCUGUGAGGUUUAAAGGUGCAGUACACAGAAAAUCACAGGCAUAAGCACAUUGACAUGUCCUCAUUUCAGAUCCAAGUCCAGCAGGAGAUGGGUGCGGGACGGUGGCUGUGGCACAAAGUGAGAUGGGCAGACUCUGCAUCAUGGUGGCAAUGGGACAAAGGCGCCCAGCCUGAACAAUACUAUUGGAAGGAAAUCUAACAAACACUGGCCAUCAGGCUCCAUGGACUGAAAUCGGAGAAGAGGCUGGUAAUAAGUAAAGACCAAAUUCAAAGGUGUGCCUGGGAGGCAGACAGUGCCAGGGACAAAGGAGGAAGCGGAGUAAGUAUCAUCAGGCUCAUAUAAAUUCAUCCUGCCUGUCAAGCCUGAAGAAGCGACUUGUGAAUGUGAGCUUGCAGGGGACAACUUGUACCAAAGUCUAGCACCCCUCCCCAGGUGCUCUGGGGCUGACGUUCGGCUCUGCCACUUCCUCUCUGCCUGAACCGUCCCGUGGGGAUAAACAACAAGCCCCUGGCUGAGAAACCAACAGGUAGGUCACUGCCAGGUGUCCCAUUGCUGGAUUAAUCCUUCUGUGUCCAGCCCGCAAGCCCCCCUCUCCCUACUGGGCUUUGCUCCCUGCAAUCAUGUAUGUGAUAUAUUGUCAUUUUAAGAUGCUUAAUGAACUGAUCAAAUUUUAUCAGUGACUUUCUCACUAGUCUUCCCUUCCCCCACGAGAUACUGGUAAAAGCUCCUCUUGUUCCUUCCCUUUGGCAGCAUUAGUUCAUUCUUUUUUCUGCGGUCAUCUUCCCCCUAUAAGCGAUCUUGUGUAUGUCCUGGCUUCUCCUCCAUGUCCAUUCUGGGUACUGCUUUGUGCCCUACGGUCCUUUGAGGAGAGGCACCUCCACUGUUCCCAGCAUUCUUCUUUCAUGGGUAUCUGUAGAUCCCCUCUAGGACUCUUCAGCCUUCUUGUGGAUUUUAAUAUU